RNAcentral lists this ribosomal RNA (468 nucleotides) under uncultured bacterium. RNAcentral describes it as "partial 16S ribosomal RNA". It matches the Rfam family "Bacterial small subunit ribosomal RNA", at positions 28 to 507 of the family's 1533-position model. The record is from RNAcentral.
GACGAACGCUGGCGGCGUGCUUAACACAUGCAAGUCGAACGGAAAGGCCCUGCUUUUGUGGGGUGCUCGAGUGGCGAACGGGUGAGUAACACGUGAGUAUCCUGCCCUUGACUUUGGGAUAACUUCAGGAAACUGGGGCUAAUACCGGAUAGGAGCUCCUGCUGCAUAGUGGGGGUUGGAAAGUUUCGGCGGUUGGGGAUGGACUCGCGGCUUAUCAGCUUGUUGGUGGGGUAGUGGCUUACCAAGGCUUUGACGGGUAGCCGGCCUGAGAGGGUGACCGGCCACAUUGGGACUGAGAUACGGCCCAGACUCCUACGGGAGGCAGCAGUGGGGAAUAUUGCACAAUGGGCGGAAGCCUGAUGCAGCAACGCCGCGUGCGGGAUGACGGCCUUCGGGUUGUAAACCGCUUUCGCCUGUGACGAAGCGUGAGUGACGGUAAUGGGUAAAGAAGCACCGGCUAACUACGUG